UAACAUUUGCGCCUAGCUGGUGCUAUCUAGCAGUAUAGAUGGCUGAAAAGGGAAUCUGGUGUGAAUCCAGAACUGACGCGCAGCGGUAAAAGAGAACGAACACUCAACAGACACUGCAUAGAGGAUUAUGUGGGAAGUCGAGUUAGUAGGUGGUGCAUACUGAGCUCUUAAGUCCGAAUACCUGCCAGCAGCUGAGCCAAUCA
RNAcentral lists this non-coding RNA (203 nucleotides) under Vibrio coralliilyticus. Lineage: Bacteria; Pseudomonadati; Pseudomonadota; Gammaproteobacteria; Vibrionales; Vibrionaceae. The record is from RNAcentral.